CUCCUGGAAAACGGGUGGUAAUGCCGGAUGCUCCAGUUGAUCGCAUGGUCUUCUGGGAAAGCUUUCGCGGUAUGGGAUGGGGUCGCGUCCUAUCAGCUUGACGGCGGGGUAACGGCCCACCGUGGCUUCGACGGGUAGCCGGCCUGAGAGGGCGACCGGCCACAUUGGGACUGAGAUACGGCCCAGACUCCUACGGGAGGCAGCAGUGGGGAAUAUUGCACAAUGGGCGCAAGCCUGAUGCAGCGACGCCGCGUGAGGGAUGGAGGCCUUCGGGUUGUAAACCUCUUUUAUCGGGGAGCAAGCGAGAGUGAGUUUACCCGUUGAAUAAGCACCGGCUAACUACGUGCCAGCAGCCGCGGUAAUACGUAGGGUGCAAGCGUUAUCCGGAAUUAUUGGGCGUAAAGGGCUCGUAGGCGGUUCGUCGCGUCCGGUGUGAAAGUCCAUCGCUUAACGGUGGAUCCGCGCCGGGUACGGGCGGGCUUGAGUGCGGUAGGGGAGACUGGAAUUCCCGGUGUAACGGUGGAAUGUGUAGAUAU
RNAcentral lists this ribosomal RNA (536 nucleotides) under Bifidobacterium longum subsp. suillum. RNAcentral's name for it is "bacterial SSU rRNA". It matches the Rfam family "Bacterial small subunit ribosomal RNA", at positions 147 to 697 of the family's 1533-position model. Lineage: Bacteria; Bacillati; Actinomycetota; Actinomycetes; Bifidobacteriales; Bifidobacteriaceae. The record is from RNAcentral.